RNAcentral lists this long non-coding RNA (1459 nucleotides) under Dasypus novemcinctus (nine-banded armadillo). RNAcentral's name for it is "lncRNA (ENSDNOG00000051188.1)". Lineage: Eukaryota; Metazoa; Chordata; Mammalia; Cingulata; Dasypodidae. The record is from RNAcentral.
AUGCUUACAUUGCUUAUUAACAAGGGCUUCCAUUUCUUUCUCAGAAUGCAUCAAGCAGUUCCUCCGUUUGGGGUCAAGACAAUUUGCCAGAUAAAAUGGAAUUCCAAGAGAACUAGGGUGUGGAGGAAAAAAACCUCUGGAGAGUUUUCUCCAAAUGCAGCCAGUUCCUACUCAUUGAUGCUGUGCCAGCCACCUGCAUCCCCCCCAGGGCUGGAGACUCAUCGACGGCACUCAUGUGACAGGCUGCCGACGGCCAGCACUGGCAGUUCAUGGAGGUCUCCCCAACGCCGGGGUGUCUGAGAAAGUCCCAGGUCCCAGAGGCAGACAAGUAAGUGACCUGAGUACAGCUAAAGCUUGAUCCAGCUGUGGGACUUAUGGCCUAAUGAAAUAAGCAAUUCCCAGAAUGGCCUUAACCCUCAGAAUGUAAUUCUAACCACACUAUGUAGAUAAAUAUAAUUUAGUGAUUUCCUCCCACUACACUCUUGGGUAUAAACCAAGAUAUCUUCAGCACGGCUAUUCUGAUGCUACUGUACAAUUAUAAAUAUUUAAAUUGUUCUACAUUCUUAUCAGUGUUUAUCAGCAGUAUGCAAUCGGGCAUUUAAGGUGGAAGAAUUCUUCUCCGAGCAGGAUUGUCCCAUGGCCUUGCAGAAUGUUUGGCACCUCUCGUCCAACAAAUGCCAUUUACUCUGAUAGUCCCCAGAAGCACAUUUCCAAACAAGUCGAGGAGUGAGAGGUACUCAUGAAUCCUGGGGUUCAGGGUGAGGUUAGAUUUGAUCCAUUUUACAGUAGGAGAAUCUUGGAAGGGACAGAAGAGGGCACCCAAACCCACUCUGGGUUGGAUGCUAAGGGGGCAAGGCUCAGCGAGUCAGGAAGAGCUCAUCCAUGGCACGGGGGCAGCCAGAACAAAGCCUGUCUGUGGAAGAAGGCCGAGGUCCUGAGUGUAGGUAGGACAUGCACAGGUUCCUUGAAUGAAGAAGCCAAGGCAGUGAAGAAGCUGGGCUCACAGAACUUAAGAGUUCAGAGCUGAAUAGAGGCCAAAGUGUACAAAAUGGAUAAAGAAUGAGCAAGGGGUAGGGUAUGGUCCUGUAUAACUGCUCUGAACCCUGGCUGCAAUCUGAUCUCUUCACAGCCUUCACGGGCAAGGGGCCAAGAAGGCUCCUUCAAGGGGCAGCUCAUUGAUUCCGGACCGUUCUAGUGGUUUGAAGGUUCUCCUAGUUAGGAACUAACUCUCCUAUCUUGCUUGGUCCUUAAAAGAGCAACAGCAACACUACCCUGCCACCAUCACCACUGUGGCCAUGACCUGCUAAUCUGACUCACUGCAGAGAAUUUCCAAGCCCCUCCAAGUGGCCAUAAAGUUAGAGAGGCUCUAAAACCAGCCAAGAGGGGGCACGAGUACUAGAAUCUGUGCUGAUCUCUGUGACUUAAUGUCUAGAAACUCAAUAGAACUAGCAGGAUGGCA